UACGGGGGGGGCAAGCGUUGUUCGGAAUUACUGGGCGUAAAGGGUGCGUAGGCGGCUUUCUAAGUUGGAUGUGAAAACUCUGGGCUCAACCCAGAGCCUGCAUCCAAAACUGGAGGGCUAGGGUUCUGGAGGGGAAAGCGGAAUUCCUGGUGUAGCGGUGAAAUGCGUAGAUAUCAGGAGGAACACCGGUGGCGAAGGCGGCUUUCUGGACAGAUACCGACGCUGAGGCACGAAAGCUAGGGGAGCAAACAGG
This 253-nucleotide ribosomal RNA is filed under the name uncultured bacterium. RNAcentral's name for it is "partial 16S ribosomal RNA". It matches the Rfam family "Bacterial small subunit ribosomal RNA", at positions 524 to 776 of the family's 1533-position model. The record is from RNAcentral.